AACGCUAGCUACAGGCUUAACACAUGCAAGUCGAGGGGCAGCGCAGUGUAGCAAUACAUGGGCGGCGACCGGCGCACGGGUGCGUAACGCGUAUCCAACCUUCCCGUUACUCAGGGAUAGCCUUCCGAAAGGGAGAUUAAUACCUGAUGGUAUUCAAAUUCCGCAUGUUAUUUGAAUUAAAGAUUUAUCGGUAACGGAUGGGGAUGCGUGACAUUAGGUAGAUGGCGGGGUAACGGCCCACCAUGCCCACGAUGUCUAGGGGUUCUGAGAGGAAGGUCCCCCACACUGGAACUGAGACACGGUCCAGACUCCUACGGGAGGCAUCAGUGAGGAAUAUUGGUCAAUGGUCGGAUUUUUUAACCAGCCAAGUAGCGUGAAGGAUGAAGGUUCUAUGAAUAGUAAACUUCUUUUAUUCGGGACCCCCCCCCCCUACGUGUAGGUGCUUGUAUGUACAAAAAGAAUAAGCAUCGGCUAACUCCGUGCCAGCAGCCGCGGUAAUACGGAGGAUGCGAGCGUUAUCCGGAUUUAUUGGGUUUAAAGGGAGCGUAUACGGGAGAU
RNAcentral lists this ribosomal RNA (558 nucleotides) under uncultured Bacteroidales bacterium. RNAcentral's name for it is "bacterial SSU rRNA". It matches the Rfam family "Bacterial small subunit ribosomal RNA", at positions 32 to 583 of the family's 1533-position model. Lineage: Bacteria; Pseudomonadati; Bacteroidota; Bacteroidia; Bacteroidales. The record is from RNAcentral.